UCAGAGGCGAUGAAGGGCGUGCUAAUCUGCGAUAAGCGCCGGUAAGGUGAUAUGAACCGUUAUAACCGGCGAUACCCGAAUGGGGAAACCCAGUGUGACUCGUCACACUAUCAUUAACUGAAUCCAUAGGUUAAUGAGGCGAACCGGGGGAACUGAAACAUCUAAGUACCCCGAGGAAAAGAAAUCAACCGAGAUUCCCCCAGUAGCGGCGAGCGAACGGGGAGGAGCCCAGAGCCUGAAUCAGCAUGUGUGUUAGUGGAAGCGUCUGGAAAGGCGCGCGAUACAGGGUGACAGCCCCGUACACAAAAGCGCAUGUGCUGUGAGCUCGAUGAGUAGGGCGGGACACGUGGUAUCCUGUCUGAAUAUGGGGGGACCAUCCUCCAAGGCUAAAUACUCCUGACUGACCGAUAGUGAACCAGUACCGUGAGGGAAAGGCGAAAAGAACCCCGGCGAGGGGAGUGAAAAAGAACCUGAAACCGUGUACGUACAAGCAGUGGGAGCACCCUUUGGGUGUGACUGCGUACCUUUUGUAUAAUGGGUCAGCGACUUAUAUUCUGUAGCAAGGUUAACCGAAUAGGGGAGC
This 583-nucleotide ribosomal RNA is filed under the name Salmonella enterica. RNAcentral describes it as "partial 23S ribosomal RNA". It matches the Rfam family "Bacterial large subunit ribosomal RNA", at positions 40 to 666 of the family's 2925-position model. Lineage: Bacteria; Pseudomonadati; Pseudomonadota; Gammaproteobacteria; Enterobacterales; Enterobacteriaceae. The record is from RNAcentral. RNAcentral also lists the same sequence under 1 other name.